GCGAUAUUUUACAUUGAUUUAUUUACAUGUAUAUUUAACAAAUUUGUAGAUACCGAAGAUUCAAGUCAAGGUAUUAAUACUUUCGAUUACAUGAAGAUUACAGAAAUUAACGAGAAAACUAACAAUGAUUUGGCGAUAAUUAAUGAACUGGAAGCAGAAGUAGGUGUUAUUAUUCUGAAAUUUUUUUCAU
This is a non-coding RNA of Tetranychus urticae (two-spotted spider mite), 190 nucleotides long. The record is from RefSeq and is a predicted model, not a curated record. NCBI's taxonomy places the organism in Eukaryota, Metazoa, Arthropoda, Arachnida, Trombidiformes, Tetranychidae.